GACGAACGCUGGCGGCGUGCUUAACACAUGCAAGUCGAGCGGUAAGGCCCUUUCGGGGUACGACGAGCGGCGAACGGGUGAGUAACACGUGGGUGACCUGCCCUCCAGCUCUGGGAUAAGCCUGGGAAACCGGGUCUAAUACCGGAUAUGACUCCAUGACGCAUGUUGUGGGGUGGAAAGCCUUGUGCGGCUGAGGAUGGGCCCGCGGCCUAUCAGCUUGUUGGUGGGGUGAUGGCCUACCAAGGCGACGACGGGUAGCCGGCCUGAGAGGGCGACCGGCCACACUGGGACUGAGACACGGCCCAGACUCCUACGGGAGGCAGCAGUGGGGAAUCUUGCGCAAUGGGCGAAAGCCUGACGCAGCGACGCCGCGUGAGGGAUGACGGCCU
Molecule: ribosomal RNA, 389 nt
Filed under: uncultured bacterium
Lineage: Bacteria
Description: bacterial SSU rRNA
Rfam family: Bacterial small subunit ribosomal RNA
Source: RNAcentral